This 440-nucleotide ribosomal RNA is filed under the name uncultured bacterium. RNAcentral describes it as "partial 16S ribosomal RNA". It matches the Rfam family "Bacterial small subunit ribosomal RNA", at positions 338 to 795 of the family's 1533-position model. The record is from RNAcentral.
CCUACGGGAGGCAGCAGUGGGGAAUAUUGCACAAUGGGCGAAACCCUGAUGCAGCGACGCCGCGUGAGUGAAGAAGUAAUUCGUUAUUUAAAGCUCUAUCAGCAGGGAAGAAAAUGACGGUACCUGAGUAAGAAGCCCCGGCUAACUACGUGCCAGCAGCCGCGGUAAUACGUAGGGGGCAAGCGUUAUCCGGAUUUACUGGGUGUAAAGGGAGCGUAGACGGCAGUGCAAGUCUGGAGUGAAAGGCGGGGGCCCAAACCCCGGACUGCUCUGGAAACUGUACGGCUGGAGUGCAGGAGAGGUAAGUGGAAUGCCUAGUGUAGCGGUGAAAUGCGUAGAUAUUAGGAGGAACACCAGUGGCGAAGGCGGCUUACUGGACUGUAACUGACGUUGAGGCUCGAAAGCGUGGGGAGCAAACAGGAUUAGAUACCCGAGUAGUC